CCGGAUGGCGACCGGCGCACGGGUGAGUAACACGUAUCCAACCUGCCGAUGACUCGGGGAUAGCCUUUCGAAAGAAAGAUUAAUACCCGAUGGCAUAGUUCUUCCGCAUGGUAGAACUAUUAAAGAAUUUCGGUCAUCGAUGGGGAUGCGUUCCAUUAGGUUGUUGGCGGGGUAACGGCCCACCAAGCCUUCGAUGGAUAGGGGUUCUGAGAGGAAGGUCCCCCACAUUGGAACUGAGACACGGUCCAA
This 249-nucleotide ribosomal RNA is filed under the name uncultured bacterium. RNAcentral describes it as "partial 16S ribosomal RNA". It matches the Rfam family "Bacterial small subunit ribosomal RNA", at positions 84 to 334 of the family's 1533-position model. The record is from RNAcentral.